Molecule: long non-coding RNA, 5939 nt
Filed under: Sus scrofa (pig)
Lineage: Eukaryota; Metazoa; Chordata; Mammalia; Artiodactyla; Suidae
Description: lncRNA (ENSSSCG00040065815.1)
Source: RNAcentral
UGUUGAAUCUUUCUCAGAAAGUCCUGUGGACAAGAGGGGAUUUCCAAUGUGUAAUAAACUCUCUAAUAUAAAUAUUAUUUGUUUAACUCUCAUUUUAUGCAAGUUUCCGAGAUCUUAAUAAAUUAAGGGAAAGCUAUAACAAUAUAAAUUAGGAAAUGACAUAAUGGUGCAAGAGAGGUGUAAAAAAUAUAAAAUUGGAGUUCAGAGCAAGAAAUGUUACUUCUAGGUAGAAGCAAAAAGAAAGGCUUUUUGUAUCUUAUAACACUUAAACUGAGCCAUUCCAGGGUGUCAGGGCUUGGGGAUGUAGAAAUAGAGGAGAAGGUGUUCAAGAUACAAAGAACGAGAGCUAGGACGACAUUUGGACUUGGAGAAAUCAUGGAAUAGGUAUGGAGUUAGCACUUGUGAUUAUAUUAUCAAGAAAAGUCAUAAAGGACCUUGGGUGUCAAAAGGAAGUGGCUGAAAUAAAUACAAUACACUGGUAUUCUCUGUUUCUAUUACCAAAUAAAAAUCAAAUAUAUGUUUAUAUGGCUAUUAUGUAUACCGUGUCAUGGAUAUUGGAAUAGAGUAUUGAAAGCUUAUGACAAUGAGACUGUGCUAAGGUCUUGACUUUAUCCAUAUAACACACUGAUGUUAUUACUUAUAUUAAUUUCUUGACCUAAAUAGUGUCAAUAAAAUGAGGCAGAAUAAGACUGUGAGAAUAAGACUGUGGAGAAUAUGCAGACCUAGGUCUUCAUCUCUGCUUGGUCACCAGCUCAAGGAGUGACCUGAGGAAGGUCACUUCUUUGACUUGCUUGGUCCAUCUUCACAUUUGUCAUCGUGCAAGGUGGUUAUUUGAUGGUUGCUUUCCUAGCCUUUCCAAGUCUCUAAUCAUAUACACGUAAUCUCUCCAACUUUAUUUCAAAUAAAGUCAUUCAUUUUUGGGUACUGGCUAAGAGCAAAGAUUCCAUGUCUUUGGCGUGUGUAAACUCCCUUUGGGAGACAGCUAAUGCUGGAAGUGCUGCCACCAUUCAUAUGUGAUGGUAGUUGGUUUAAUUCUUGGGUUAAAGUGAAGAUUAACUAGCAAAACCUAUUUAAACCCUUGCUGUUAGCAAUAUAUUUCAAGUGUACCAGUUAACUUCAUCUUUUUUGUCUUGUUAGGGCCACACCCAUGGCUUAGGAAGUUUCUGGGCAAGGGGUUGAAUUGGAGCCAUAGCCACUGGCCUAUGCUACAGCCACAACAAUGUCAGAUCCAAGCCACAUCUGUGACCUAUGCUGAAGCGUGCAGCAAGGCCAGAUCCUUAACCCAAGGAUCUAACCUGUAUCCUCAUGGAUACUAGUUGGGUUCUUAACCUGCUGAACCACAACAGGAACUCCCCAAUUAACUUUUUUGAUCUAAGAAACAGUUUUUUUUUAAUAAGAAAUCAGGUAUUAAGGACUAUGCAUGUGUCAGCCUCUGAGAUAAUCACUAUGAAAUGUCAUCAUCAUAGCUAUCACUUAUUGAACAUUUAUUCUCUGCCAGGCACUGUUCUGAGAGCUUUACAUACAUAAUCCUAUCCAAUAUUCUCAAGAAACAUAAGAACUAGGAAAACUUGCAGUGGAUCAAAUGGUAUCCCCCCAAAAGAUAUGUCUAUGUCCUAACCCCUGGAAUCUAUGAAUAUUGUCUUAUUUGGAAAAAGGUCUUUACAGAUAUAAUCAAAUUAAGGAUCUUGAGAUGAAGAUAUCAUCUGGAUUAUUAAAAUGGGCCAUAAAUCCAAUGAAAAAUAUCCUAUAAGAGACACACAGAGGGGAGAUAUAUAAAGAAGAGGAAAAGGCUGUGUGACCAUGGAGGCAGAUAUUAUAAUGAUAUGGCCAUGAGUCUGAGAAUGCCUUGUGCCACCAGAAGCUGGAGGAGGCAAGGAACAGAUCAUUUCCUACAACCUUCAGAGAGAGAACAGCUCUCUUGCCCCUUAAUAUCAGACCUCUGGCUUUCAGAACUGUAAGAGAAUAAAUCUCUCUUAUCUUAAGCAACCAAGUUUGUGGUAGUUUGUUACAGCAGCCAAAAAACCAAUAUAUACAUCUAAUAAAUAUGAAAUCAAGAUUAAAAAAUAGAAUGUGAAAAUUAAAGUAUGAAUUCAUGAUAUGGAAAGGUCAGUUAAACUUACCUAAGAUCUCAUACUUGUAAAUGAGUCUGCAGGAGACUAAACCAGGCAGCUUUUAGAACUUUCUUUCAACCUUAAUAGAAUAUUGCACCUCAUUACUUUCUCAAUUUUGACAGAAUAUGUUAGCUACUGGCCACAUUACACUCUGGAAAGUGCUUUGAAAGCAGGGGCAAACAUAAAGUGCUAUAGGAGCACAUGAAGGGCAUAUAACCCAGUUUUGGAGAGUAUCAGGGAAGUUAUCCUAGAGGAGAUGAUGGCUGUCGGGCUGAUUUUUCAUGGUGAAGGUACCUUUUCAGAUUAUAAAGUGGGGUAAGUUUCCCAAACAGAGAGAUCAAGUGUAGAGGGAGAUAAAGAGCAAAGCACCCUUUGGGAACUGCAAUAGUUAGACAUGGCCCAAGGGAUUCUGAAAGAAAGAUAGGAGGUGUGACAGAAGAUCAAGGUGAAGAAGAGGUGAUGGUGGGUCUCUAUAGGGCCAUAGAUGGUAGACGCCUCAGGCAGCUGGAGAGAUAGGAUAACUUGGUGCAGGUGAUUCUGUGAUCAGAUCAGUCUUUUAUGGACCCACAGUGAGAGGUAUCCUGAAGGACAAAAAAGAGUGGGUUGAGAGCAGAGGUGAACUAUCCUACAGCAAUAAAUGAGAUGUGCGUUAGAGUGCUGGAGAUGGUGAUGGAGAGGAGAAAGCACAGUGAGCAGACAGAUAUUAUUAAGAGGUGAUGUGAGUAAGAUUCAAUGACUAGUAUGAUUUAAAAGACAAGAGGAAGGAGGGGUAUGGACUGCCUUGCAGGUUUCAGGUUUGGGGAACUGCUGAUACAACAAAUGCAGGAGACAUUCAACUGGGAGUAGUGGCCAGAUGGAAUAGGAGAUAGUGAGUGUAGAUAAACAUUUUGGUGAUGGUUGAGGAGCUCCCAUGGCUUUAAUUCUAAAUAUAUGAAAGUGUACAUAUUUAUCAUGGCUUUGGAAUUACACCGUAGAAAUUGAAUUUGCAGUGUACUCCAAGAGAAGGAAGGCAAAGGCAACUGACACCGAUGACAUACAAGAGAUUGGGUGUAGAACUUACACUGUCUUGUUUGAUCCUGCAAAUAGGACUUAGAGAAGAGACUUGUGGAUGCCAAGGGGGAGGAGAGACAGAGUGGGAAGGAAGGGUGUUUGGGAUUAGUAGCUGCAAACUGCUACAUUUAGGUGGAUAAGCAAUGAGACCCUACUCUAUAGUACAGGGAGCUAUAUUCAGUCUCUUGGGAUAGACCAUGAUGGAAGAUAAUAUGAUAAAAUUAAUGUAUAUGGGAGAGAGGAUUAAGAUGGCGGAAUAGAAGGACUGGAGCUCCAACUUAUCUCCUAAAAAACAACAAAAUUCACAACUAAAGCCUGAGCAAUAUCCACCCAAAUGGACUGGAAACCUUAAAAAAGAUACCCUACUCCAGAAGAAAAAGAGGAGGCCACAUCAAGAGGUAGGAGGGGCAAUUUUGUGAUAUAAACAACCCCAUACCUCUGGGGUGGGAAGCUCCACAGACUGAAAACUAACUGGUUCACAGAGACUCACCUACAGGAGUGAGAGUUCUGAGCCCCACAUCAAACCCUCACAUGUGGGGACCUGGCACUGGGAGAAAGAGCCCCUGGAGCAGCUGGCAUUGAAGGCCAGUGAGGCUUGUGCACAGGAGCCCCACAGGACUGGGGGAAACGGAGACCCCGUUCUUAAAAGGUGCACACAGACUUUCAUGUGUACUGGGUCCCAGGGCAAAGCGAUGUCUCCAUAGGAAUCUGGGUCAAACCUGACCACAGUUCUUGGAGGACAUCCUGGGAAAACAGGGGUGAAUGUGGCUUGUUAUGAGGGGACGGACAUCAAAAGCAAAGCUCUCAGGAAUAUUCAGCAGCUUGCCUGUCUCUGUAGGUGGCCAUUUUGAGAAAAUCUGGCCCCACCCGUCAGUCAGUGCUGAGAAGCCCCAGGGCAAACAAUAAUCCAGGUGGGAUCACAGCCCCACCCCUUAGUAAACAGGCUACCUAAAGACUCCCUCAGGCACACAGCUGCCUCUAAUCUCAUUGAGAGACGAAGCCCCACCCACCAGAGGGAUUAGAAUCAGCUCCACCUACCAGUGGGCAGGCAUCCGCCCCCCCCCAUCAGGAAGCCUACAGCAAGCCCCCAUACUGACUUCAGCCACAAUGGGGGCAGACGCCAGAAGUAAGAGAGGCUACAUCUCUAUUAUCUGUAAAAAGUCACCACACCAAAAACCUAUAAAAAUGAAAAGACAGAGAACUAUAACUCAGAUGAGGGAGAAAGGAAAAACCCCAGAAAAUCAGCUAAGCGAGGAGAAGAUUCUCAGCAUCCAGGAAAAAGACUUCAGACUGUUGAUGCUGAAGAUGAUGCAAGACAUUGGAAAUAAACUGGAGGAAAAGAUGGAUAACUUACAGGAAACACUGAGCAAAGAGAGACAAGAUAUAAAACUUAAACAAGAAGAGAUGCAAAAUACAAUAACUGAAAUAAAAAAUUCACUAGAAGCAGUCAACAGCAGAAUAAAGGAGGCAGAAGAAUGAAUAAGCAAUAAGCGAGGUGGAGGACAGAUUAGUGGAAAUUAUGGAUGCAGAACAGAAAAGAGAAAAAAGAUUGAAAACAAAUGAAGAGAGUCUCAGAGAACUCUGCGACAAUACUAAACACACCAACAUCCGUAUUAUAGGGGUGCCAGAAGGAGGAGAGAGAAGGGGACAGAAAAAAUAUUCCAAGAGAUAAUAGCCAAAAACUUCCCUCACAUGGGAAAGGAACCACUUACUCAAAUCCAGGAAGCACAACGACUACCAUAUAAAAUAAACCCAAGGAGGAAUACACCAAGACACAUAUUAGUCAAACUGACCAAAAUUAAAGACAAAGAGAAAAACUUAAAACAAUCUCAUAUACAUAUAGACUCUUAUAUCAAACCUUCAGAAUGACUGCAAACCAAAAAUCUACAAUUGAUACACAAACAUGGAAUCUCUGGAGAAGAAAUAUAUCUCAUAGUAAAUAAGUACAUAAUCCACCAUGAAGGGCGUCAUUUGACAUCAUUCUUGGAAUGCUGAAGUCCUCUUAGAUCUGAUUCUGAUUUCUUCUACAUCAAAGAAUUUAUGAUAAUUAUAAUUAAUGAAUGCAGCUGUGCAAUUAAAUAAUACAGUUCUACAAUUGUAUUAUUAAUAACCAUUUCUCUCCAUGGUACAAUGUAAGGUCUAUAAUAUCUUGUUUAUCACAUCACCUAGAAUGGUGUAAUGCCUAUAUUGAAGAAUCAAUAAGAUGUAACAAAUUGUGAGGACAUAUUUAUAUAGUUACACUGUUUUUUUAAAAAAUUUAUGCAUUUUAUAUUUUACUUAUUUUCAGAGGGUGUAUUAUUUUUGUUAUUCUUACCAGUUAAGUUAUUCUUUUUAUUAUGCUAUAUAAAAUAUUUAAUGGUUAAAAAAAAAAAAAGAAAGAAAAGCCAGGGAUGGAACCGAGUCCUCAUGGAUACUAGUCAGGUUCAUUACUGCUGAGCCACAAUGGGAACUCCAUUUUUUGUUUGUUUUUAAUGACAUAAAUGUUUAUCAAGGUGCAUGCUCCAGGGCAGAGGAAGGCACAGCUAAUUUUUGUGGGCUACCAAGAAAGAUCAGAAAAUUUUUUCCCUGGCAGUUUUAUUGUGGCACAGUGGGUUAAGGAUCCAGUGUUGUUACCGCAGCACCUCAGGUCAGUGCUGUGGCAUGGGCUCCAUCCCUGGUCCAGGAGCUUUCACAUGCAGCAGGUGCAGCCAAAACAAAACAAAACAAACAAAAUAAAAGCCCUAAACUAAUGAAAAAAAUUUUUCCCUUUUAAACUGUAAAAAAAAAAAAAAGAAAAAA